This is a long non-coding RNA of Nothoprocta perdicaria, 892 nucleotides long. RefSeq lists it as uncharacterized. The record is from RefSeq and is a predicted model, not a curated record. The transcript is spliced from 4 exons. NCBI's taxonomy places the organism in Eukaryota, Metazoa, Chordata, Aves, Tinamiformes, Tinamidae.
AAACAUUAAAGAAAGAGCAAGCAAGAGUGGAAUUAAGGACUACUCUCUCAUGUGUUGCAUGAUCGAGAACCAUAAGAAUUUCAGGGAACAAGAGGGCAAGAUGAUCCCUGAGCCGUAUUUCCAGCUGUUGCCUGCAACUGCUUCUGGAAGAGGCACACGCUUUUUCACUUCACCCCUGUAAACCUGAGCGCACCUAAAAACAAACUAAUCGUGACAAAUAACAGCCCUUAAGUCAAUUUGCUUCUCUGGAGACAAUUCCUGAUCUUUCUCAUCUAAUUUCGUGCACAGGAAUACUUUCAGUUGUGAUUCAGGCGAUGAUGUCUCCUCAUAAAUCCAGGCUGCAGUAACACCAGCGUGACCCAUCACUUCAUUACAUCAAUAUGCGAAGCUGUGCAUCGUACUGAGGAGGAGUUUAUCUGGCUGCAGUGGGAACCGAUCCAGGAACAAAGGAAGGAGUUAGAAAUCUGAUUAUUUCUGGGCCAGUUCUGUAUGAGCUUCUCCAUUUUCCUGUUGUCAGCUAGUUUUUCUUUUCUUCAUCCUCCUUCCCUACACAAAGAGGCGAAGGAUCCAGCUAGCACAGGCAUUCUGAUUAGCAUCACCAUCCAGCCAAUGUCCUAACAAAGUGGUUGGCAGGGUCUGAAUUUCAGCUCAGGGUAGGAUGAAAUGUAUGCUAUUGGGUCAGAUAUGAGCAUAUGCAAAAUCAGGGACCCACCUAACGACCAGGAGCAACAGGAGCAUGGUGGGUCUCCAGACACGCCUGUCUGGCCGUUCCUCAUUGCGUGCUGUCUGGGAGGGGCGGGCUAAUUUCAUUAAUUUUGUACAAAUAAGAAAUUCUAGUUCUGGUGCUACCUCUGCACAGUUCUAGUACUACCUCUGUAGUACUUUCUGUACU